RNAcentral lists this transfer RNA (74 nucleotides) under bacterium. RNAcentral describes it as "tRNA-Pro". It matches the Rfam family "tRNA". From Rfam's summary of the family: Transfer RNA (tRNA) molecules are approximately 80 nucleotides in length. Their secondary structure includes four short double-helical elements and three loops (D, anti-codon, and T loops). The record is from RNAcentral.
CGGAGUGUGGCCUAGUGGUUUAGGGCGUCUGCUUUGGGAGCAGAAGGUCGUGGGUUCAAAUCCCACCACUCCGA